AUACGGAGGGUCCAAGCGUUAUCCGGAAUCAUUGGGUUUAAAGGGUUCGUAGGCGGGUCAAUAAGUCAGAGGUGAAAUCUUGCAGCUUAACUGUAAAAUUGCCUUUGAAACUGUUGACCUUGAAUUACUGUGAAGUGGUUAGAAUAUGUAGUGUAGCGGUGAAAUGCUUAGAGAUUACAUAGAAUACCGAUUGCGAAGGCAGAUCACUAACAGUAUAUUGACGCUGAUGAACGAAAGCGUGGGUAGCGCACGGGAUUAGAAACCCCAGUAGUCC
This 274-nucleotide ribosomal RNA is filed under the name uncultured bacterium. RNAcentral's name for it is "partial 16S ribosomal RNA". It matches the Rfam family "Bacterial small subunit ribosomal RNA", at positions 523 to 796 of the family's 1533-position model. The record is from RNAcentral.